CAGGACGAACGCUGGCGGCGUGCCUAAUACAUGCAAGUCGAACGGUCUUUCUAUGGAAGCUUGCUUCCACUGAGAAGAUAGUGGCGAACGGGUGAGUAACACGUGGGUAACCUGCCCAUAAGAGGGGGAUAACAUCCGGAAACGGGUGCUAAUACCGCAUAGUUUUCUUGAUUGCAUGAUUGAGAAAGGAAAGACGGCCUUUGUGCUGUCGCUUAUGGAUGGACCCGCGGCGUAUUAGUUAGUUGGUGAGGUAACGGCUCACCAAGACGAUGAUACGUAGCCGACCUGAGAGGGUGAUCGGCCACAUUGGGACUGAGACACGGCCCAAACUCCUACGGGAGGCAGCAGUAGGGAAUCUUCCGCAAUGGACGAAAGUCUGACGGAGCAACGCCGCGUGAGCGAAAGAAGGUUUUCGGAUCGUAAAACUCUGUUGUCAGAGAAGAACAAGUUGGAGAGUAACUGCUCCAGCCUUGACGGUAUCUGACCAGAAAGCCACGGCUAACUACGUGCCAGCCGCCGC
This 520-nucleotide ribosomal RNA is filed under the name uncultured bacterium. RNAcentral describes it as "bacterial SSU rRNA". It matches the Rfam family "Bacterial small subunit ribosomal RNA", at positions 25 to 518 of the family's 1533-position model. The record is from RNAcentral.